CCUACGGGAGGCAGCAGUGAGGAAUAUUGGUCAAUGGACGCAAGUCUGAACCAGCCAUGCCGCGUGCAGGAAGACGGCUCUAUGAGUUGUAAACUGCUUUUGUACGAGGGUAAACGAAGAUACGCGGAUCGGUCUGAAAGUAGCGUACGAAUAAGGAUCGGCUAACUCCGUGCCAGCAGCCGCGGUAAUACGGAGGAUUCAAGCGUUAUCCGGAUUUAUUGGGGUUAAAGGGUGCGUAGGCGGUCGGAUAAGUUAGAGGUGAAAUCCCAAGGCUCAACUUCGGACUUUCCUCUGAUACGGUUCGGCUAGAGCGUAGUUGCGGUCGGCGGAAUGUCUGGUGUAGCGG
This 346-nucleotide ribosomal RNA is filed under the name uncultured bacterium. Its description in RNAcentral is "partial 16S ribosomal RNA". It matches the Rfam family "Bacterial small subunit ribosomal RNA", at positions 338 to 681 of the family's 1533-position model. The record is from RNAcentral.